UAAUGUCUGGGAAACUGCCUGAUGGAGGGGGAUAACUACUGGAAACGGUAGCUAAUACCGCAUAACGUCGCAAGACCAAAGAGGGGGACCUUCGGGCCUCUUGCCAUCGGAUGUGCCCAGAUGGGAUUAGCUAGUAGGUGGGGUAACGGCUCACCUAGGCGACGAUCCCUAGCUGGUCUGAGAGGAUGACCAGCCACACUGGAACUGAGACACGGUCCAGACUCCUACGGGAGGCAGCAGUGGGGAAUAUUGCACAAUGGGCGCAAGCCUGAUGCAGCCAUGCCGCGUGUAUGAAGAAGGCCUUCGGGUUGUAAAGUACUUUCAGCGGGGAGGAAGGGAGUAAAGUUAAUACCUUUGCUCAUUGACGUUACCCGCAGAAGAAGCACCGGCUAACUCCGUGCCAGCAGCCGCGGUAAUACGGAGGGUGCAAGCGUUUAAUCGGAAUUACUGGGCGUA
This 456-nucleotide ribosomal RNA is filed under the name Escherichia coli. RNAcentral's name for it is "bacterial SSU rRNA". It matches the Rfam family "Bacterial small subunit ribosomal RNA", at positions 111 to 562 of the family's 1533-position model. The record is from RNAcentral. Lineage: Bacteria; Pseudomonadati; Pseudomonadota; Gammaproteobacteria; Enterobacterales; Enterobacteriaceae.